Molecule: ribosomal RNA, 497 nt
Filed under: uncultured bacterium
Lineage: Bacteria
Description: partial 16S ribosomal RNA
Rfam family: Bacterial small subunit ribosomal RNA
Source: RNAcentral
GAUGAACGCUGGCGGCGUGCCUAAUACAUGCAAGUCGAGCGAACAGACGAGGAGCUUGCUCCUCUGACGUUAGCGGCGGACGGGUGAGUAACACGUGGAUAACCUACCUAUAAGACUGGGAUAACUUCGGGAAACCGGAGCUAAUACCGGAUAAUAUAUUGAACCGCAUGGUUCAAUAGUGAAAGACGGUUUUGCUGUCACUUAUAGAUGGAUCCGCGCCGCAUUAGCUAGUUGGUAAGGUAACGGCUUACCAAGGCAACGAUGCGUAGCCGACCUGAGAGGGUGAUCGGCAACACUGGAACUGAGACACGGUCCAGACUCCUACGGGAGGCAGCAGUAGGGAAUCUUCCGCAAUGGGCGAAAGCCUGACGGAGCAACGCCGCGUGAGUGAUGAAGGUCUUCGGAUCGUAAAACUCUGUUAUUAGGGAAGAACAAAUGUGUAAGUAACUAUGCACGCCUUGACGGUACCUAAUCAGAAAGCCACGGCUAACUACGUG